UUUCCGUAGGUGAACCUGCGGAAGGAUCAUUAGUGAAUAUUAGGGCGUCUACUUCGGUAGGGCCUGACCUCCACUUUCUAACUCUGUGCACUUAUUUGGCGGAAAAGGGAAUUAGUAAUCCGUCUAAUGACGAUUGCGACUUCUUACUUUCUGCGGCUUACUUUAAACACUAGUCAAAGUAUGUAACGAAAUAUCGAAACAAAUAAAAACUUUCAACAACGGAUCUCUUGGCUCUC
This 236-nucleotide unclassified non-coding RNA is filed under the name plant metagenome. Its description in RNAcentral is "partial contains small subunit ribosomal RNA, internal transcribed spacer 1, and 5.8S ribosomal RNA". The record is from RNAcentral.